GUGGUUUUUAGCAGGUGUGGUAUACUGCUAUAAGGUUGUUUACACGAGUUAGUUGGCGCAAGCCGAAAGUACACAAGACUUCGCAAAAUACACGGAAAUAAUGCGAUAAAACCAAACGCUGCCACUGUUUGAGAGUGAAGAGUUCGAUUGGAUAGGCCUGUUUGAGAUUUAGCUGAGACGCCAAAAGUGCAGGAUGUCCUCUUUAACGGAGGCCCAGGCCAUGCGUGGAGUGGUGAAGCUGGCGGUCCAGUCGCCCGUGGAGGACAGAAGGACAGCUCCUCCACAUCCCUUCACCCUCUGGCUCAUGUACUGCAGCGAGGCUUCAGCGGCGCCUACGGCUGAUUUCCCUGCAUUGCACAAGAAAACACUCAAGUAUGUGUCAGUGUCAGCAAAGUUAGCAGCAGAACUUUAUCUCCCUGCCAUCCCAUUUAUUUUUGCUGUACUUUAUCACAAGCAUUUCCUGUCAGGCUUGUACAUUGAGGAUAAAAUAUAGAACUGCAUAAAUAGAUGGUAGGGAUUUUAAGGUUUAAUAAGGCAGUAAAAAUCGUAUAAUGCAGUAACACCUGUUACUGUCAUAAACCAAUGCGGUAUUAUCCACCAUUAUAAGGAUUUUAUUCACUAUUCAAUAAGAUAUUGUUAUUAUUAUUAUUAUUAUUAUUAUUAUUUUAUAUUCAAUAAAGUAUCCUGAAAAAAGAAGUGUUUUCCCAAACAUAUUGAGCAGAAUAACUAUUACCCUUGAGCAUCAGAUCAGAUUUUGAAAUGAUAUCAGGAACUUCAGCUUUGCCAACACAAGAAUAAGUUACAAUUUUAAAAA
Non-coding RNA from Danio rerio (zebrafish), 814 nucleotides. The record is from Ensembl. Lineage: Eukaryota; Metazoa; Chordata; Actinopteri; Cypriniformes; Danionidae.